GACGAACGCUGGCGGCGUGCCUAAUACAUGCAAGUUGAGCGAUGAAGAUUGGUGCUUGCACCAAUUUGAAGAGCAGCGAACGGGUGAGUAACGCGUGGGGAAUCUGCCUUUGAGCGGGGGACAACAUUUGGAAACGAAUGCUAAUACCGCAUAACAACUUUAAACAUAAGUUUUAAGUUUGAAAGAUGCAAUUGCAUCACUCAAAGAUGAUCCCGCGUUGUAUUAGCUAGUUGGUGAGGUAAAGGCUCACCAAGGCGAUGAUACAUAGCCGACCUGAGAGGGUGAUCGGCCACAUUGGGACUGAGACACGGCCCAAACUCCUACGGGAGGCAGCAGUGGGGAAUCUUCGGCAAUGGACGAAAGUCUGACCGAGCAACGCCGCGUGAGUGAAGAAGGUUUUCGGAUCGUAAAACUCGGUUGGUAGAGAAGAACGUUGGUGAGAGUGGAAAGCUCAUCAAGUGACGGUAACUACCCAGAAAGGGACGGCUAACUACGUG
RNAcentral lists this ribosomal RNA (497 nucleotides) under uncultured bacterium. Its description in RNAcentral is "partial 16S ribosomal RNA". It matches the Rfam family "Bacterial small subunit ribosomal RNA", at positions 28 to 507 of the family's 1533-position model. The record is from RNAcentral.